UUAACAAUAUUAUAUGUAGUCUUGAGAAGAAAAAAAAAAUCCCUCUAGUAUAGAGGACCGCGUUUCCAAGUUCAACACGAAAUCAUAACGGGUCUCCAGUGAUAUCGUCUCAAUUCGGAUUUCACAGUUGAACAAGGCAGUAGCAUUCAGUUAGCAUCAACUAGCAAUUCUCCAGAUGACUGCAGAGUAUUCAUUAAUACCAGAUAUACUAAGGUGAGGGUUGUUAUGCAAUAUGUAUAUACAUAUAUAAACUGGGUAAUUUUGAAUCUGUUAAUGCUGUGCUAAGAGUGUGUAUCUUGUGUGAUCACAAGCCAGCAACUGGGCCGUCUUACCUUUCAGUCAGAAACAGAGGAAAGUGAUUAUCAGGGGAAGGUCUUCUAAAAUCAUUUAGGAUUAUACCAAUCUAGUGACUGUUCAGUGUUUCAAGAGUUAUUGGACUUUCCUCCCCUUGAUACAAAGUUUGAGCAAGAAAAAUAAUUUCAGUUUUUAGCAAUGCGUCUCUACAACUGAAGAGGACUAAUUUGAUGAACAAUUUGGAAAAUUUUCAACAUGUUUGUUGGUUAGGUCUUUCAACUUGUACCAUUCCCUUUCUUAGCCAGGGACUUUUAUCUGUUACGCACCACUUAACAUUCCCACUCUUCAUUUCUGGAGUACAAAUGUGCUCUUGCCUAUGCCUAUGGUGCAUGCAGAACAUAGAAAGCACAGAAAAAGACUCAAGAAGAAACAGUAUUAAUGACCACAUUAAGUUCACUUUUAAACCCAAUUUUGGUUUCUUCAUGCAUGCAAAUCCUACAUUCAUAGAUUCAUCGAUUGAUACAUGCAUUUUCUAACUCACAUUCAUCAAAUAUUUUGGCUUCUUCAUCUAUGUAAAAUACUACAUACAUAUAUAGAUUAAUGGAUUUUCAUAGAUUGAUGCAUUUUUCUAGUAUGGUUGCAUACAUUAAUUAAAUUCAUCCUAAAAGAACUCAAAAUUCAUGAAAGUUAUGUUCCCAUCUAAAAAUCAAUUACCGUUCCAUGAAAGUAGAUUAAGAUGUCUACUCCAACAUGAUGACCUUAGCUUUGGUAUCAACUUUUAAAUUGAGUUUUGAUCAUCUUAUCUGAAAAUUAAAUGGUAUCCAAUGAUUUGAAUCUUUUAUGACAUUAAACAUCACUAUCAUUUAGAUGACUCAUUUUGAAGUUGAAAAGCGAUAUUAGUGCAUUCCAAUACAAAGAACUUAAUUUUCGCUUAUCGAUGAGAUAAUUUAUAAAGAAGUAUAUAUAAAAGAUUCGUAAUCCCUCUCUCCACUCAUUAUUUUCUUAUUAUCUCUUAUCCAUCAUUAAGAACCGCUUAAAAGUAAAAGUAGGAGCAUAAAGAUUAAAGACUUCAAAAUUAUUAUUUUCAUAUUUCUACUAUUAAAAUUUUAGCAUUAUUGAUCAAUGCAUGCACUAUUUCAUUCAUAUUUUUAAUUGUUUUUUGAUACUUAAAUCAAUAAAAUAUUAGUGCAUAUGUUGUUAGAACCAUGGUUAAGAAUUUGUAAUCUUUCUCUUCCUUGGUCUUGAUCAUAAUUUCUAUUUCAGUUAUGAUAAGAUUAUUUGUACCUAUCACAAUGUUAUUUUCACAACAUCAAAGCCAUGAAUAGAUGAAUUUGCACCUAGAGUACUUGUCCUCUAUCAGUAAUCAGAGGCACAGUCUAAUCUUAUUGUGUAAUCGUUUCAGGCUUUGGAAGGGCAUAGAGUCUCACCGUUCCCAACCCUUCAACUUGCACCGUUUUGGCCUCCUUUUACGUCAAAACGGGCCACCCUGUUUUGACCUUUAUGUGUUAAAAUGCACCGAAUUUUAAUUUCACCCUUUUGACUUGUCUGCACUACAACGCACCGUUUUAUUUAGAACGUGAAGAGGCAUGGGGGGGCUUCAGGCUUGGUAGGUGGUGUGUCACUGUGUCUCCUUCUCUCAGUCUGUACCUGGGCCCAGAUCCCGAAGACCAAAAGGGUGAUCCGAUGGUGGAGGAGGGGCGGGGGUGCUGGGGUUCCAGAAACGUGACUGAGCCAUAAGAUGCAACAGUGGGCGUCGGCAUGGUAAAAGAGCCCAGAUAUGUAGGAUUCGUAAGAUCUCAUCUCAUGUCUUUUUGGAAUGAGUGCGAGCAUUUUCAGUCAGUUUCUUAAGGUUGGUGAAGAAUCUCUGAUACCGUGUGAGUGCGACACUCACUGAAUUUUCCCAUUUACAGUAAAAUAAUUUCCCAUUCUUUCUCUCGGGCCAUGGGCGAACUUGGGACAAUGGCGUGCCAUUUACGAAAGAUACCAGAUGCUGCUACUACUGCUUACUACUACUACCUACUACCAUUAUCAAUCUUAUUCCUCAGUCACACCCAAGUUAACACAGAGAUGCCGCUUUUAGGUGAUGGAUGUUUGCACACCCCUUGAGCGCCAUGAGGCUGUCUCCUCAUUUCAGCAUCUUGUAGUUACACCAAACGUCACCCUUUGGUAAGUAAAGUUUGACAGAGGAUCAUACACAAUGAUGGUUACCAACAAUGUGGACCCGACUUGACCCGAUAUAAUAAUCACUGCGCAAAGCCCACCACCAUCCCAUUUCCUCUCCAUCUUCCACCGUCAUUGCCAUCCCAUGGUUGGUCAAUGAUGUGGGGUCCCGACAUUCUCGAGGCAAUCCACGUGUCUCUCUGUCCUGCCAGUCAAAUUCUCAACAAAGUGUAAAACCAUCAUUUCUAUGGUUCCACCCGCGUAACAUUUGGCUCAAACUGGGUGCAUUGGGUGGUCUCAGAUACCCUAGCCUAGAUGUAAAUGAAUCUGUACAUUUUUUUCUCCACAUGAUCGAUAGAGCAUAUUUAGAACUCCAAUGAAUGACAGUAAUUUUUGUACAUGGUGAUCAGCCAUGCGACAUUGACUUCUUACGCAGCAUGCGACUGCAAAACAAAGUAAAAUGGCAGAGAUGGC
Molecule: long non-coding RNA, 2928 nt
Filed under: Vitis vinifera (wine grape)
Lineage: Eukaryota; Viridiplantae; Streptophyta; Magnoliopsida; Vitales; Vitaceae
Description: long non-coding RNA (VVIN_LNC001161)
Source: RNAcentral